CGGACGGGUGAGUAACGCGUGGGUAACCUGCCUCAUACAGGGGGAUAACGGUUAGAAAUGACUGCUAAUACCGCAUAAGCGCACAGUACCGCAUGGUACGGUGUGAAGAACUCCGGUGGUAUGAGAUGGACCCGCGUCUGAUUAGCUGGUUGGUGAGGUAACGGCCCACCAAGGCGACGAUCAGUAGCCGACCUGAGAGGGUGACCGGCCACAUUGGGACUGAGACACGGUCCAA
This 235-nucleotide ribosomal RNA is filed under the name uncultured bacterium. RNAcentral describes it as "partial 16S ribosomal RNA". It matches the Rfam family "Bacterial small subunit ribosomal RNA", at positions 99 to 334 of the family's 1533-position model. The record is from RNAcentral.